AUAUGAUUUUGACAUCUAAUCGUUUACUUAGGAAAAACUGAGUCGAAAAUAUUCACGUGAAUUUCGUUUGCACGUAACUUCAAUAAAAAAAAUGGGCGCAUCAGUUAUACCUUUUGUCAUUUUCACCGUUUUAUGGGGUGGUAUAGGUAUAAUUUUACCCAUAUUUGUACCUAAAGGACCUAACAGAGGAAUUGUACAAGUAAUUUUGAUGUUAACGGGAGUGUGCUGCUGGUUGUUUUGGUUGUGUUGUUAUGUAGCCCAAAUGAACCCACUUAUUGGUCCAAAACUGGAACAAAAUAUUAUACUCAUUAUGGCUGAAAAAUGGGAGUAGGAAUGUUAUAAAACAUCUAUUCUUUUAGCAAUAGGACUCACCUUAUUUGAGGGUAACGCUGUCACAGAAUAACAAAAAUGUGGUAGAUUAAAUUGAAAGAACGGUAAAUAUCACAGUGUAGUGUAUCCCAAAAUUAAUUUCCCUACAGUUAAACGUUGUAUUAUAUUUAUUUUUUAUUUCUUGUAACAUACUCCUUUUAUCUUUAUCAUAAAUUAAUUAUACAGUACAAUAUUUUCUCUGAAUAUAUAAAAAAAAAUCCAUUUUGUUAAUAUUGUCGUAAAAGAUGGACAUUUUAAAAUAAAAUAUAAUUGUCGAA
This is an RNA transcript of Diorhabda carinulata, 647 nucleotides long. It is a transcript of the gene named V-type proton ATPase subunit e-like, with no coding region annotated. The record is from RefSeq and is a predicted model, not a curated record. NCBI's taxonomy places the organism in Eukaryota, Metazoa, Arthropoda, Insecta, Coleoptera, Chrysomelidae. The transcript is spliced from 5 exons.